UACGGAGGGUGCGAGCGUUGUUCGGAAUUACUGGGCGUAAAGCGCGUGUAGGCGGCCUUUUAAGUCUGGUGUGAAAGCCCGGGGCUCACCCCCGGAAGUGCACUGGAUACUGAGAGGCUCGAGUACCGGAGAGGAGGGUGGAAGUCCUGGUGUAGCGGUGAAAUGCGUAGAUAUCAGGAGGAACACCGGUGGCGAAGGCGGCCCUCUGGACGGAUACUGACGCUGAGACGCGACAGCGUGGGGAGCAAACAGG
RNAcentral lists this ribosomal RNA (253 nucleotides) under uncultured bacterium. RNAcentral describes it as "partial 16S ribosomal RNA". It matches the Rfam family "Bacterial small subunit ribosomal RNA", at positions 524 to 776 of the family's 1533-position model. The record is from RNAcentral.